This is a long non-coding RNA of Brachypodium distachyon (stiff brome), 887 nucleotides long. RefSeq lists it as uncharacterized. NCBI's taxonomy places the organism in Eukaryota, Viridiplantae, Streptophyta, Magnoliopsida, Poales, Poaceae. The record is from RefSeq and is a predicted model, not a curated record. The transcript has 2 exons.
CGAACAGGGCAUGGUCUGAUGGUCAUGGGUGUGUGUUAAUUAAACUAAGCCAACUGCUAUACUCCUUUAGCAGGCAUCACUGAAAUUUCUGCAGCUGGAUGGCCGGCCGGGCCACAUUUCAAGUCAAAUUCAAGUUCAAGUUCUGGACUUGUUCAGUCCUUCUUCACUGAAUAUUCGUGCGGAGUCUCUGUAACUUUUCCUAGUAACGUCCAGUGGUAUUCCAAAGCCAUGUUUCCCAGUGUCAUUUCACCUAUAAAUAGAGGUAUAGGGGUAUAACUUGUUUGCAUCAGAGGCACCCAUCGAGCUUGUUGUGUACAUCGUUCCAGAGCCGCGAAUUUCAGGAUCAUCUUGGUGGAGCAUUUCAUCCUGUGGUGCUCAGCGAUCUCCAGAGGAACAAUGGCGAAACCUGGCGGCCGUAACAACGUCAAGAAGAGCAUCUGGCAGCUCCUCUGCGGCUGCACGAAGCCUCAGACCCGCGACUAAUUCAAAUCCGAAGUUUCUAAAUGCACGAGAGAGCGAGAGGUCAAGGGUCUUAUGGUUCCCCGUGAUAGGUGAAAUUCUUUCCUACGUGUAGGUCUCAACGAGUUGUUCCAUGUUGAAGUUUAGUACAGUACUCCUUUUGUUCCAUAUUAAUUGGCACGGAUUUAGUACAACUUGUAUUAAAUCCGUGUCAAUUAUGUGGAACGGAGAGAGUACUCCGUAGUAGUGUGGGUAUGAUCAGUCAGAUGACGCCCGAUAUUAGUGAGUUGUCUUUGUUCAAUUGGUUAUGUAGUAGGAGUUGUGUAACUUGUGUGUCGAGCUUAGCUGCCCCUGCACUCUUAGGGGAACAAUGCAAGCAAGAGUCAUGUAAACCAUAUCCCUGAAUAAAAAUCUCGCCUGCUUCGUUA